UUAAAGGCCCUUUUCAGAGCCACACAGUUUUUAUAGAAAGCUCUGG
Sus scrofa (pig) is the source of this 46-nucleotide non-coding RNA. NCBI's taxonomy places the organism in Eukaryota, Metazoa, Chordata, Mammalia, Artiodactyla, Suidae. The record is from Rfam.